This 677-nucleotide ribosomal RNA is filed under the name Escherichia coli. RNAcentral describes it as "bacterial SSU rRNA". It matches the Rfam family "Bacterial small subunit ribosomal RNA", at positions 848 to 1526 of the family's 1533-position model. The record is from RNAcentral. RNAcentral also lists the same sequence under 1 other name. Lineage: Bacteria; Pseudomonadati; Pseudomonadota; Gammaproteobacteria; Enterobacterales; Enterobacteriaceae.
GAGCUAACGCGUUAAGUCGACCGCCUGGGGAGUACGGCCGCAAGGUUAAAACUCAAAUGAAUUGACGGGGGCCCGCACAAGCGGUGGAGCAUGUGGUUUAAUUCGAUGCAACGCGAAGAACCUUACCUGGUCUUGACAUCCACGGAAGUUUUCAGAGAUGAGAAUGUGCCUUCGGGAACCGUGAGACAGGUGCUGCAUGGCUGUCGUCAGCUCGUGUUGUGAAAUGUUGGGUUAAGUCCCGCAACGAGCGCAACCCUUAUCCUUUGUUGCCAGCGGUCCGGCCGGGAACUCAAAGGAGACUGCCAGUGAUAAACUGGAGGAAGGUGGGGAUGACGUCAAGUCAUCAUGGCCCUUACGACCAGGGCUACACACGUGCUACAAUGGCGCAUACAAAGAGAAGCGACCUCGCGAGAGCAAGCGGACCUCAUAAAGUGCGUCGUAGUCCGGAUUGGAGUCUGCAACUCGACUCCAUGAAGUCGGAAUCGCUAGUAAUCGUGGAUCAGAAUGCCACGGUGAAUACGUUCCCGGGCCUUGUACACACCGCCCGUCACACCAUGGGAGUGGGUUGCAAAAGAAGUAGGUAGCUUAACCUUCGGGAGGGCGCUUACCACUUUGUGAUUCAUGACUGGGGUGAAGUCGUAACAAGGUAACCGUAGGGGAACCUGCGGUUGGAUCAC